CGAGAGUUUGAUCCUGGCUCAGGACGAACGCUGGCGGCGUGCUUAACACAUGCAAGUCGAACGAUGAACCACUUCGGUGGGGAUUAGUGGCGAACGGGUGAGUAACACGUGGGCAAUCUGCCCUGCACUCUGGGACAAGCCCUGGAAACGGGGUCUAAUACCGGAUACGACGCUCGCAGGCAUCUGUGAGGGUUAAAAGCUCCGGCGGUGCAGGAUGAGCCCGCGGCCUAUCAGCUUGUUGGUGAGGUAGUGGCUCACCAAGGCGACGACGGGUAGCCGGCCUGAGAGGGCGACCGGCCACACUGGGACUGAGACACGGCCCAGACUCCUACGGGAGGCAGCAGUGGGGAAUAUUGCACAAUGGGCGCAAGCCUGAUGCAGCGACGCCGCGUGAGGGAUGACGGCCUUCGGGUUGUAAACCUCUUUCAGCAGGGAAGAAGCGCAAGUGACGGUACCUGCAGAAGAAGCGCCGGCUAACUACGUGCCAGCAGCCGCGGUAAUACGUAGGGCGCAAGCGUUGUCCGGAAUUAUUGGGCGUAAAGAGCUCGUAGGCGGUCUGUCGCGUCGGAUGUGAAAGCCCGGGGCUUAACCCCGGGUCUGCAUUCGAUACGGGCAGACUAGAGUGUGGUAGGGGAGAUCGGAAUUCCUGGUGUAGCGGUGAAAUGCGCAGAUAUCAGGAGGAACACCGGUGGCGAAGGCGGAUCUCUGGGCCAUUACUGACGCUGAGGAGCGAAAGCGUGGGGAGCGAACAGGAUUAGAUACCCUGGUAGUCCACGCCGUAAACGGUGGGAACUAGGUGUUGGCGACAUUCCACGUCGUCGGUGCCGCAGCUAACGCAUUAAGUUCCCCGCCUGGGGAGUACGGCCGCAAGGCUAAAACUCAAAGGAAUUUGACGGGGGCCCGCACAAGCAGCGGAGCAUGUGGCUUAAUUCGACGCAACGCGAAGAACCUUACCAAGGCU
This 961-nucleotide ribosomal RNA is filed under the name Streptomyces dioscori. RNAcentral's name for it is "bacterial SSU rRNA". It matches the Rfam family "Bacterial small subunit ribosomal RNA", at positions 1 to 981 of the family's 1533-position model. Lineage: Bacteria; Bacillati; Actinomycetota; Actinomycetes; Kitasatosporales; Streptomycetaceae. The record is from RNAcentral.